ACCCCUGUUUUUGCUUAUUAUGAUUCUGAGGAAUUAAAUCUUUCAUCUGUUUUUGUCAGCUUAAUAUCUGGCACAUUGGGCAUUGCCUGGCACCAAUAUUUAUCUGAUUUUUGCUUCUCGAGUUAACACCGAAGCUUGCUUUGGUUGACUCAUGGAUUGUCCCGGUCUUACACAUCCAUAAUGAUAUGUCUGCUUCAA
Symsagittifera roscoffensis is the source of this 198-nucleotide small nuclear RNA. RefSeq annotates it as U2 spliceosomal RNA. The transcript has a single exon. The record is from RefSeq and is a predicted model, not a curated record. NCBI's taxonomy places the organism in Eukaryota, Metazoa, Xenacoelomorpha, Acoela, Convolutidae.